GUCCUGUUCGAUUAGUUGGUUAAAUCAUAUCGUUGUGGUCCCCGGAAGGGUAGCUCCGAUAAGCCGGACGUUCGAAUCCUCCACGGGACA
Molecule: non-coding RNA, 90 nt
Organism: Blastosporella zonata
Lineage: Eukaryota; Fungi; Basidiomycota; Agaricomycetes; Agaricales; Lyophyllaceae
Source: the annotation of a GenBank genome assembly